This 30-nucleotide non-coding RNA is filed under the name Mus musculus (house mouse). Lineage: Eukaryota; Metazoa; Chordata; Mammalia; Rodentia; Muridae. The record is from RNAcentral.
UGGCCAGUGUUUUGUCACAAUGACACACAA